RNAcentral lists this ribosomal RNA (424 nucleotides) under Steno bredanensis (rough-toothed dolphin). RNAcentral's name for it is "partial 12S ribosomal RNA". Lineage: Eukaryota; Metazoa; Chordata; Mammalia; Artiodactyla; Delphinidae. The record is from RNAcentral.
GGUGUGUGCGUGCUUCAUGGCCUUAUUCAAUUAAGCAUUCUAUUCUUAAUUUACUGCUAAAUCCUCCUUUAGUUUUUAGGUUUCAUAAAAACUUUCGUAUAAGUUUAAGUGGUGUUCUUAUUAUAGAAAAUGUAGCCCAUUUCUUCCCAAUCCAUAGGUUACACCUUGACCUAACGUUUUUAUGUACAAUAGUUGUGCUUACUUUCAUUCCUUUUUUAGGGUUUGCUGAAGAUGGCGGUAUAUAGACUGAAGUAGCAAGGAUUGGUGAGGUUAAUCGUGGUUUAUCGUUUAUAGAACAGGCUCCUCUAGAAGGAUAUGAAGCACCGCCAAGUCCUUUGAGUUUUGGGCUGUUGCCGAUAGUACUCUGGCGAAUAGUCUUGUUUUGGGACUAUUUAAGUUUACGACUAAGCAUAGUGGGGUAUCU